RNAcentral lists this small nuclear RNA (20 nucleotides) under Arabidopsis thaliana (thale cress). RNAcentral describes it as "snRNA_09292". Lineage: Eukaryota; Viridiplantae; Streptophyta; Magnoliopsida; Brassicales; Brassicaceae. The record is from RNAcentral.
UCCAAGUGGGCCAUUUUUGG